UGUAGUAGAGAAUACUAAGGCGUAGAGAUAAUACUUGUAAGGAACUCGGCAAUUGUCUUCAUAAGUUAGACGAUAUGAAGAACCAUUGAGUUAUUAUUUCUUUAUUUAUUUAUAAAAAACAAGUUUCUCUUCUGUACUCACAAGGUAUAGAAUGAAAACCGAAUUUAUUAUUUUUAAUUUGAUCAAAUCAAAAAAAGAUGAGAUUUAAAGAAUAAAACUCCGGUGGUGUCACAAAAUCGGAGGCCCCGACUGUUUACUUAAAACACAGCUUUCUGCGACGAAUAAUAUCUUUGUAUAGAAAGCGAAUUUUGCCCAAUGCCAUUAAUAUAAAAUUGAUAAGCGCAUAGCGUAUUUAUUGAUUGAAGUUCUGGUCAAUGGCGGUCUUAUCUAUGAGGAUCCUAAGGUAGCAAAAUUAAUUGUCCAUUAAAUGUGGUCCUGACUGAAUAAAGUAACGAUGGUCUCACUGUCUCUACAAGUAUCUCAGUGAAAUUGAAUUAGCCGUGCAGAUGCGGUUUAACUUCGGGUAGACGGGAAGACCCUAUGCAACUUUACUGUAGCUAGUUAUAACAUUCUCACAAUCUGGAUGUAGAGUAUAAGGUAGUCGACAUGACUUAAGUGAAACACCUUAACUAGAAUUGCGUUAAUGUUUAUUCUAUUAACUUUGUGCUGUGUCCCUAAGGGAUCUGGCCUAAAGCGAUCCACAAGAAAGCUUGGCCUUAGGCACAAAGCCUGAUGUGAUAAGUAUAAGGGAUAGUAAAAUAUCUCUUAUGAUUUAUUGAUUAGGAAAGAAGAAAAUGACUAGUUGGCAGU
This 810-nucleotide ribosomal RNA is filed under the name uncultured Tulasnella. Its description in RNAcentral is "bacterial LSU rRNA". It matches the Rfam family "Bacterial large subunit ribosomal RNA", at positions 1667 to 2269 of the family's 2925-position model. Lineage: Eukaryota; Fungi; Basidiomycota; Agaricomycetes; Cantharellales; Tulasnellaceae. The record is from RNAcentral.